Molecule: long non-coding RNA, 350 nt
Filed under: Triticum aestivum (bread wheat)
Lineage: Eukaryota; Viridiplantae; Streptophyta; Magnoliopsida; Poales; Poaceae
Description: long non-coding RNA (TAES_LNC017696)
Source: RNAcentral
CGAAACCCCUCUCCAAUCUGAGAUCCCCUCACGAGCCCGACCCGGAGCCGAAACCCUAGAGUAGAGCAGGAGCGGCGGCCAUGGCCAUCAUCUCGGACAUCCAGGAGGAGGAGGCGCCGCCGCCGCAGCAGCAGGCGGCCCCGGCGGCGGUCGACGUGGACCUGGAGGUCCUCGAGGCGGUGCUCGAGCGCAAGGGCGGCGCGCUCCCGUUCCUCCACGCGGCCAUCGACGUCGCGCACCGGCGCUCCGACCUCUUCCGCGACCCCUCCGCGGUCGGCAAGGUCACCGCGAUGGCCGCGGCGUGCAGGGCGCAGGUGGAGGCGGAGGAGAGGAAGGCCAGGGACGCCAAG